RNAcentral lists this unclassified non-coding RNA (1004 nucleotides) under Hevea brasiliensis (rubber tree). Lineage: Eukaryota; Viridiplantae; Streptophyta; Magnoliopsida; Malpighiales; Euphorbiaceae. The record is from RNAcentral.
UUGAUGCUCCAGAUGAGGAUUUCACGGAGACAGCACAAGCACUUCCCUUGGUGCAGUUCCAAAAGAGAAGAUUGCCUGUGGGUGCAGGUGCAAACACCAGGAAAACCCAUAUGAAGGAAAGUAUCAAGAAUUGAAUCUUGAGGUUAAAAUAUGCCCCCCAUUUCAACACCAACCUGAACUACUGGGGGGAAGAGGUAGGGAAGUGUUCUGCUUCUACUGCAGCCUGGGAUUGCAAAACAGUAAGGAAUGCAGUUGCAGUGAAGGUGACACUGAUGAUUUACUAGACACCAAGAACAGUGUUUUGGAUUACACAAGCUAGAAGAUGGAGGUGAGACCAAAACUAGUGUUUUUGGUUCCUGUUUAAAAACGAGUAUGUAAACGAAAAACAUGGGAUUAUUAUUUUGUUUAAAUAAUCUUCUUUCACAAUAAAAGAACUAGUGGCGGGUGAAGUAUUGAUUUGCACAACUAAAAAUUUGAGGAUCAUUUGUCGAAACAUUGAAACAAUUAAUUGGAUUGGUACCCUCUCAAAUUAGAACAAACACGAUCCAUAAUGAUUGCACCAUUUCAAACACUGAAUUCAAAUCAAUGGUGGAGAUUAAUUUUUAGUCCCGAAUAUAUAACUGCACAUUUUCUUUUUUGAAAAAAAAGUUAAAAGUCUCAACCACUCAUUUUGAAUUCAAGAGUUGAUGAAUUUCCCACUGUGAUAGUUUUCCCUUUUUCUCCUUUUUUGUUAAUUCAGAAAAGCUGUGCACACCACCAUCCGAUGAAAAUUUUCACUCCCAUUGCAUGGUGAUUAGUUCAUGAAUCAUUUUCCUUGAUCUUUCACUUUAGAGUUGAGGAUAAGCUGUGAGAUGAGGAUGAAGAAGUAGAUGGAGGAAGGUAAUCUAUCUUAGUCAAGCACAAAUGGAGAUAUACAUAAGAGAGAUGUUGAGAGAGGGAGCAUGGAGCAAACUUGUCACAGAAUCUAAUUUUGUUAACAUGCAGUGUUGGUUGGAAUAAUUAUU